RNAcentral lists this transfer RNA (68 nucleotides) under Scaptodera rhadamistus. RNAcentral describes it as "tRNA-Met". It matches the Rfam family "tRNA". From Rfam's summary of the family: Transfer RNA (tRNA) molecules are approximately 80 nucleotides in length. Their secondary structure includes four short double-helical elements and three loops (D, anti-codon, and T loops). The record is from RNAcentral. Lineage: Eukaryota; Metazoa; Arthropoda; Insecta; Coleoptera; Scarabaeidae.
GAAAAGAUAAGUUAAUUAAACUACUGGGUUCAUACCCCAAUCAUAAAGGUUCUAUCCUUUUUUUUUCA